UACGAAGGGGGCUAGCGUUGCUCGGAAUCACUGGGCGUAAAGCGCACGUAGGCGGUUCGUUAAGUCUGCUGUGAAAGCCCUGGGCUCAACCUGGGAACUGCAGUGGAUACUGGCGGACUAGAGUGUGAUAGAGGAUGGUGGAAUUCCCGGUGUAGCGGUGAAAUGCGUAGAGAUCGGGAGGAACACCAGUGGCGAAGGCGGCCAUCUGGAUCAACACUGACGCUGAGACACGAAAGCGUGGGUAGCAAACAGG
Molecule: ribosomal RNA, 253 nt
Filed under: uncultured bacterium
Lineage: Bacteria
Description: partial 16S ribosomal RNA
Rfam family: Bacterial small subunit ribosomal RNA
Source: RNAcentral